GUGACGUAAAAGCCCUCAUAUUUGUUUUCAUCGAAUGUUUUUGUUAAAAAAAAGAAGGUUAUUGUUAAUCUCUGUGCAAAGAUUCAAGUCGAAAUGGAGGCCCGUUGUAUUUGGGGGAUUCAAAGAAUAGAAACUGGUACAAAAUGCCGUCCAGUGGUGCAGAGUGAACCAGGAGAAACCGAGCUGCUGAUACAAAAGCAUUUUUACUCUUGGGAAUAGAGCCACUCCAACAGAAUAGUGCUGUGACUGACAAGAGACCAGCCCGUCUUCACUUUCAGCUGUCAGAAACCAGAUCUGCAUAGCAAAGGCUCAGAGCUGCGUUACAUUAAUUUGACCUGAUCCGGUUCUCAGCAUGAGCUUCAACAGCUGCGACAGGGAUGCUCGCUGUGUCCUGACACAAGGUGCUGGUCAUUCUCCUGAAGUCAUAGAACACCAUUCCUUUGAGGGCCCGGUCCUUAGCAUCAUCCAGAAAGCAGCCAAUAUACGUGCCUGAGUAAAGAACAUCAGGCUGUGGAACCAGCGUCGUCUCAAGUGGCGGAUCUCCUGGUUUCGUGAGAUCAGCCAAUGCGGUCCAGUGUUGUCCGCCGAAAGACCACCUUGGUAGCCCAUCCCCUUCACGGUAAGCCG
This is a long non-coding RNA of Triplophysa dalaica, 627 nucleotides long. RefSeq lists it as uncharacterized. Lineage: Eukaryota; Metazoa; Chordata; Actinopteri; Cypriniformes; Nemacheilidae. The record is from RefSeq and is a predicted model, not a curated record. The transcript is spliced from 5 exons.